GGCGAUCAGAUACCGCCCUAGUUCUGACCGUAAACGAUGCCAACUAGCGAUCCGCCAGUCGACUCAUCGCUCUGGUGGGGAGCUUCCCGGAAACGAAAGUCUUCCGGUUCCGGGGGAAGUAUGGUUGCAAAGCUGAAACUUAAAGGAAUUGACGGAAGGGCGCCACCAGGAGUGGAGUCUGCGGCUUAUUUUGACUCAACACGGGGAAACUCACCCGGCCCGGACACCGUAAGGAUUGACAGAUUGAUAGCUUUUUCAUGAUUCGGUGGAUGGUGGUGCAUGGCCGUUCUUAGUUCGUGGAGCGAUUUGUCUGGUUUAUUCCGAUAACGAGCGAGACUCUGGCCUACUAAAUAGUUGACGCAUUGCCACUGUGCGCACAACUUCUUAGAGGGAUUUUCGGUGUUUUCAACCGCACGAAAUUGAGCAAUAACAGGUCUGUGAUGCCCUUAGAUGUCCGGGGCUGCACGCGCGCUACACUGGCAAACGCAACGUGCCUGUCCUGCCCGGAAAGGAGCGGGUAAACCCCUGAAAUUUUGCCGUGAUUGGGAUCGGACAUUGCAACUAUUGUCCGUGAACGAGGAAUUCCUUGUAGGGGCGAGUCAUCAACUCGUCCCGAAUACGUCCCUGCCCUUGUA
RNAcentral lists this ribosomal RNA (635 nucleotides) under Rotylenchulus reniformis. RNAcentral describes it as "SSU rRNA". It matches the Rfam family "Eukaryotic small subunit ribosomal RNA", at positions 1003 to 1664 of the family's 1831-position model. Lineage: Eukaryota; Metazoa; Nematoda; Chromadorea; Rhabditida; Hoplolaimidae. The record is from RNAcentral.